GCGCACGCUGGCGGCAGGCUUAACACCUGCCAGUCGAGCGGGCAUCUUCGGAUGUCAGCGGCAGACGGGUGAGUAACACGUGGGAACGUACCCUUCGGUUCGGAACAACUCUGGGAAACUGGAGCUAAUACCGGAUACGCCCUUAUGGGGAAAGGUUUACUGCCGAAGGAUCGGCCCGCGUCUGAUUAGCUAGUUGGUGGGGUAACGGCCUACCAAGGCGACGAUCAGUAGCUGGUCUGAGAGGAUGAUCAGCCACACUGGGACUGAGACACGGCCCAGACUCCUACGGGAGGCAGCAGUGGGGAAUAUUGGACAAUGGGCGCAAGCCUGAUCCAGCCAUGCCGCGUGAGUGAUGAAGGCCUUAGGGUUGUAAAGCUCUUUUGUCCGGGACGAUAAUGACGGUACCGGAAGAAUAAGCCCCGGCUAACUUCGUG
Molecule: ribosomal RNA, 434 nt
Filed under: uncultured bacterium
Lineage: Bacteria
Description: partial 16S ribosomal RNA
Rfam family: Bacterial small subunit ribosomal RNA
Source: RNAcentral